Molecule: unclassified non-coding RNA, 381 nt
Filed under: uncultured bacterium
Lineage: Bacteria
Description: contains 16S-23S intergenic spacer region
Source: RNAcentral
UCCGGCUUGUCACCGGCAGUUCCUUCGGAGGGCCCAGCUUUACCUGAUGGCAACUGAAGGCGAGGGUUGCGCUCGUUGCGGGACUUAACCCAACAUCUCACGACACGAGCUGACGACAGCCAUGCAGCACCUGUGUUACGGCUCCCUUUCGGGCACCCCUCCAUCUCUGGAGGGUUCCGUACAUGUCAAGGGUAGGUAAGGUUUUUCGCGUUGCAUCGAAUUAAUCCACAUGCUCCGCCGCUUGUGCGGGCCCCCGUCAAUUCCUUUGAGUUUCAGUCUUGCGACCGUACUCCCCAGGCGGAGUGCUUAAUGUGUUGACGUCGGCACAGCAGGGGUCGAUACCCGCUACACCAAGCACUCAUCGUUUACGGCGUGGACUAC